UGGGUAACCUGCCUCAAAGAGGGAAAUAGCCUCCCGAAAGGGAGAUUAAUACCGCAUAAUAUGUUUCGGUCACAUGGCCUUAACAUCAAAGGAUUUUUUCGGAAAUCCACUUUGAGAUGGACCCGCGGCGCAUUAGCUAGUUGGUGAGGUAACGGCUCACCAAGGCGACGAUGCGUAGCCGACCUGAGAGGGUGAUCGGCCACAUUGGAACUGAGACACGGUCCAGACUCCUACGGGAGCAG
RNAcentral lists this ribosomal RNA (242 nucleotides) under uncultured bacterium. RNAcentral describes it as "partial 16S ribosomal RNA". It matches the Rfam family "Bacterial small subunit ribosomal RNA", at positions 118 to 347 of the family's 1533-position model. The record is from RNAcentral.